RNAcentral lists this transfer RNA (66 nucleotides) under Peltodytes quadratus. Its description in RNAcentral is "tRNA-Pro". The record is from RNAcentral. Lineage: Eukaryota; Metazoa; Arthropoda; Insecta; Coleoptera; Haliplidae.
CAGAGAAUAGUUUAUAUAAAAUAUUAAUUUUGGAGAUUAAUGAAAAAAAUUAUUUUUUUUCUCUGA